UCGUAACAAGGUUUCCGUAGGUGAACCUGCGGAAGGAUCAUUACUGAGUGAGGGUUUCCUUCGGGUGCCCAACCUCCCACCCUUGUGUAUUAGACCCUGUUGCUUCGGCGGGCAUCUCCCCUGUAUUUCGGGGGGGGUAGUUCCCGCCGGUAGCCCUAUACAUGAACACUGUUUAUGAGAGAUUGCAGUCUGAGUUUGAUUGAAAUAACAAUCUAUUAAAACUUUCAACAAUGGAUCUCUUGGUUCCGGCAUCGAUGAAGAACGCAGCGAACUGCGAUAAGUAAUGUGAAUUGCAGAAUUCAGUGAAUCAUCGAGUCUUUGAACGCACAUUGCGCCCCCUGGUAUUCCGGGGGGCAUGCCUGUCCGAGCGUCAUUUCUGCCCUCAAGCCCAGCUUGGUAUUGGGUCGUCGUCCCCCCUCUCUUGGGGAGGGACGGGCCCGAAAGGCAGCGGCGGCACCGUGUCUGGUCCUCGAGCGUAUGGGGCUUUGUCACCCGCUCUUUAGGACCUGCCGGCGCCUGCCCGUUGGCGUGCUUUCUAGCAUUGUCUUCCUUAUAAUUUUUUUCAGGUUGACCUCGGAUCA
Molecule: unclassified non-coding RNA, 581 nt
Filed under: Aspergillus fumigatus
Lineage: Eukaryota; Fungi; Ascomycota; Eurotiomycetes; Eurotiales; Aspergillaceae
Description: sequence contains 18S rRNA gene, ITS1, 5.8S rRNA gene, ITS2, 28S rRNA gene
Rfam family: 5.8S ribosomal RNA (bases 220-373)
Source: RNAcentral